RNAcentral lists this ribosomal RNA (459 nucleotides) under uncultured Latescibacterota bacterium. RNAcentral describes it as "bacterial SSU rRNA". It matches the Rfam family "Bacterial small subunit ribosomal RNA", at positions 923 to 1382 of the family's 1533-position model. Lineage: Bacteria; Pseudomonadati; Candidatus Latescibacterota. The record is from RNAcentral.
GCACAAGCAGCGAGCGAUGUGGUUUAAUUCGACGCAACGCGAAGAACCUUACCUGGGUUUGACAUGGCAGCGUAAGCCGUGGAAACACGGCCCUCGCGAGAGCGCUGUCACAGGUGCUGCAUGGCUGUCGUCAGCUCGUGUCGUGAGAUGUUGGGUUAAGUCCCGCAACGAGCCGCAACCCUUAUCCCCAGUUGCCAUCAGGUAAAGCUGGGAACUCUGGGGAGACUGCCGGUGAUAAACCGGAGGAAGGCGGGGAUGGCGUCAAGUCCUCAUGGCCCUUACAUCCCGGGCUACACACGUGCUACAAUGGCAGGUACAGAGGGCUGCGAAGCCGCGAGGUGGAGCGAAUCCCAGAAAACCUGUCUCAGUCCGGAUUGAAGUCUGCAACUCGACUUCAUGAAGGCGGAAUCGCUAGUAACCGCGAAUCAGCAGGUCGCGGUGAAUACGUUCCCGGGCCUU